GGGGCUUUGCAGGCGGGAGAACCUGGGUUCAGCCCCUUCCUAGCCAGACACUUAAACUGGGAUAAAGACACCGAUUUAGCCAGACUGUCAUGGGGGUUAAAUGAGAAAGUGUGGUUGCAUGCAGCCUGAACUAGCAGGCGCCAGAAGUAACAACUCGGGGCCCAUGGCUCUCCCUUUGGGGAUGGCAGCCCGGCUGUGUGGACCCCCCUGCCAGCUGCACCACGCGGCACCUGGGUACCAGAGACCCCCUACUUGCCGCUCUCUGGGCUCCCUUGCCAGGUUAAGUCGUGUCCAUGGGGAAGAUUUCAAAGCAGCCAGGAUGUGAUCUGUGAUGAGUGGCUUCUCUCCAGCCCCACCCCAGUCUCCUGACUCUCCGUUGGAGGAACUGAUGCCAUCAGUGUGUCACGUGGCCAGCCUUCCUCCGCCGGCUUCGAGAGAACGAGGGCUUGAGGCGUGGUGCAUGGAAGGAAUUAGCUUCUCUCCUCUGCAUCCCGAGUGGUACCGGUUAUGAACCAUCCUUCGGUGAACUGAGCCUUUGUCCCUUGUGUCAUUUUCCGCAUUCUGUGCCAGAUCCUGACCCCCAGCUGGUCGGUUAAACCAGCCCUUCCAUACCUCUCUUUCCCCUUCCUCUAUCUCGGAGAGGGCGCAUUGUUAGCGUGCACACCUGCCUCUGGGUUCCGGCUGUGUGGUACCCCACGGUGGGUGCGUGUAACUCAUAAUGUGCCUCCUCUGACGGGCAUGCAGUUCGCUCGAGUCUUUUGCGUGUGUGCUUCCAUG
Molecule: long non-coding RNA, 777 nt
Filed under: Equus asinus (donkey)
Lineage: Eukaryota; Metazoa; Chordata; Mammalia; Perissodactyla; Equidae
Description: lncRNA (ENSEASG00005036664.1)
Source: RNAcentral